This 497-nucleotide ribosomal RNA is filed under the name uncultured bacterium. RNAcentral's name for it is "partial 16S ribosomal RNA". It matches the Rfam family "Bacterial small subunit ribosomal RNA", at positions 28 to 507 of the family's 1533-position model. The record is from RNAcentral.
GACGAACGCUGGCGGCGUGCCUAAUACAUGCAAGUUGAGCGCUGAAGGUUGGUACUUGGACCAACUGGAUGAGCAGCGAACGGGUGAGUAACGCGUGGGGAAUCUGUCUUUGAGCGGGGGACAACAUUUGGAAACGAAUGCUAAUACCGCAUAAAAACUUUAAACACAAGUUUUAAGUUUGAAAGAUGCAAUUGCAUCACUCAAAGAUGAUCCCGCGUUGUAUUAGCUAGUUGGUGAGGUAAAGGCUCACCAAGGCGAUGACACAUAGCCGACCUGAGAGGGUGAUCGGCCACAUUGGGACUGAGACACGGCCCAAACUCCUACGGGAGGCAGCAGUAGGGAAUCUUCGGCAAUGGACGAAAGUCUGACCGAGCAACGCCGCGUGAGUGAAGAAGGUUUUCGGAUCGUAAAACUCUGUUGGUAGAGAAGAACGUUGGUGAGACUGGAAAGCUCAUCAAGUGACGGUAACUACCCAGAAAGGGACGGCUAACUACGUG